UACGGAGGGGGGCUAGCGUUGUUCGGAAUUACUGGGCGUAAAGCGCACGUAGGCGGCUUUGUAAGUUAGAGGUGAAAGCCCGGGGCUCAACUCCAGAACUGCCUUCGAUACUGGAGAGCUUGAGUCCGGGAGAGGUGGGUGGAACUGCGAGUGUAGAGGUGAAAUUCGUAGAUAUUCGGAAGAACACCAGUGGCGAAGGCGGCUCACUGGACCGGUAUUGACGCUGAGGUGCGAAAGCGUGGGGAGCAAACAGG
RNAcentral lists this ribosomal RNA (254 nucleotides) under uncultured bacterium. RNAcentral's name for it is "partial 16S ribosomal RNA". It matches the Rfam family "Bacterial small subunit ribosomal RNA", at positions 524 to 776 of the family's 1533-position model. The record is from RNAcentral.